UGUGUGGGCCAAGGCACCUCCUUGCAGGAUCUGUUACUUUGGGGAAAAUCAGGCAUUUUUAGUGUGUGGAGGUCGGGGAACACACUGACUGACUGUCUCCCAUCUCUUUGGCAGCUGGUGUAUCCUCAUGACUUCAGACUGACAGAGAAGGAGAAAACGAGUAUCUGCUACUUGUCCUUCCCAGACUCCUACUCAGGUGGCCUUGGGGACACCCAGUUCAGCUUCCGCCUGCGGCAGUCGGGGGGCCCCAGGACCUCCCCGUUCCAGGACGACGGUCGGUACAACCGGGAGGCCCCCCUGACGCUGC
This is a long non-coding RNA of Neopelma chrysocephalum (saffron-crested tyrant-manakin), 307 nucleotides long. RefSeq lists it as uncharacterized. The transcript has 3 exons. The record is from RefSeq and is a predicted model, not a curated record. NCBI's taxonomy places the organism in Eukaryota, Metazoa, Chordata, Aves, Passeriformes, Pipridae.